GACGGGACCCGCACAAGCGGUGGAUGAUGUGGAUUAAUUCGAUGCAACGCGUAAAACCUUACCUACCCUUGACAUGUCCGGAAUCCCGAAGAGAUUUGGGAGUGCUCGCAAGAGAGCCGGAACACAGGUGCUGCAUGGCUGUCGUCAGCUCGUGUCGUGAGAUGUUGGGUUAAGUCCCGCAACGAGCGCAACCCUUGUCAUUAGUUGCCAUCAUUUGGUUGGGCACUCUAAUGAGACUGCCGGUGACAAACCGGAGGAAGGUGGGGAUGACGUCAAGUCCUCAUGGCCCUUAUGGGUAGGGCUUCACACGUCAUACAAUGGUCGGUACAGAGGGUUGCCAACCCGCGAGGGGGAGCUAAUCCCAGAAAGCCGAUCGUAGUCCGGAUUGUUCUCUGCAACUCGAGAGCAUGAAGUCGGAAUCGCUAGUAAUCGCGGAUCAGCAUGUCGCGGUGAAUACGUUCCCGGGUCUU
This 470-nucleotide ribosomal RNA is filed under the name uncultured Rhodocyclaceae bacterium. Its description in RNAcentral is "bacterial SSU rRNA". It matches the Rfam family "Bacterial small subunit ribosomal RNA", at positions 916 to 1381 of the family's 1533-position model. Lineage: Bacteria; Pseudomonadati; Pseudomonadota; Betaproteobacteria; Rhodocyclales; Rhodocyclaceae. The record is from RNAcentral.